This 274-nucleotide ribosomal RNA is filed under the name uncultured bacterium. RNAcentral describes it as "partial 16S ribosomal RNA". It matches the Rfam family "Bacterial small subunit ribosomal RNA", at positions 523 to 796 of the family's 1533-position model. The record is from RNAcentral.
AUACGGAGGAUGCAAGCGUUAUCCGGAUUUAUUGGGUUUAAAGGGUGCGCAGGCGGAAAAUUAAGUCAGUGGUGAAAUCCUACAGCUUAACUGUAGAACUGCCAUUGAUACUGAUUUUCUUGAGUGCAGUUGAGGUAGGCGGAAUGUGUAAUGUAGCGGUGAAAUGCUUAGAUAUUACACAGAACACCGAUUGCGUAGGCAGCUUACUAAACUGUUACUGACGCUCAGGCACGAAAGCGUGGGGAGCGAACAGGAUUAGAUACCCUAGUAGUCC